Molecule: non-coding RNA, 1897 nt
Organism: Ictidomys tridecemlineatus (thirteen-lined ground squirrel)
Lineage: Eukaryota; Metazoa; Chordata; Mammalia; Rodentia; Sciuridae
Source: RefSeq, a predicted model, not a curated record
CGCCCCCAGCCCCUUCUCUUGACAGGCCCGCUUCGGCUGCGUUCCUCAUUGGGCACCCUAAAGAAUACCCCGCCCCUGGCCUUGUGCGAUUGGGAGAGGACACCACAGCUCCGCCCCGCAAAGUCCGCUCCUCUCGGUGGUUGGUCACGCUUGACAAGGCCCGGGCUCCACCCCCCUCUUUCCAAUUGGUGACAGGAUUCGCAACUCCGCCUCGUGCUUUUUCCCUGUUUUCCAUUGGUUCUAUACCGACAACCGGGCCCCCUUUUGCUUUGUUAGUAUUGGCCAAGAGCUGUAGAAGGCUAGCCACUUCACCUGCCUCCCAUUGGUGGAGCCUUCGGACACCUCCCAGCUACGAUGAUGUCACCUUUCUCCAGGUCCGGUGAGCCCUGAGUGGCUGGUGGCCAGCGGCCUCGCUACUCCUCCUCAGGUCUGGCAUUGGCUGGAAAUGGCUGGCCCCGGCGCUGGGUGGUGCUGAUUCACCGGCCGCGGCGGAGUUAGGCUCCGCCCGACCCCUCCCGGUCCUGCCUCUGACCUGUUGCGAGUCCUGUCUCUGGGGAAAACUUCGAGGACCUGCCAAGUGUCCCUCGAAUGGAAGGCUGGCACCUCGCGUCACCUGGGAGCUCAUCCCCGCUCGGGUUCGGGACCGGAGCCUUUGGUCUGGUGGCUGUGACCCCGGAGGCCCCCGGCUUUUCCAGAAUCUGGCAGCCGUGAACCCCCAGCGCAUCCUCAAGGGAGGGAGAGCUUCAUCAGCAACUCAGCAAGUGGCCGGAAGCGCUGGAAUCCGGCUGCGGUACACGGAAUUGAGUUUCUCUCCGAAGGCGCUUACCUCCCCCGCCCUGCCCCGGGAGAGUGGUGGCAGAAUUACUCUUAUCACGCAAGUGGGUCUUAAGAGCUCAGAAAUUAAAGUUGAAGCUGAGUAAGCUGAACCCCAAGAUUCUUUGGCCUAAAUCUCUUUUAAGGUUUUCCCUUCCCUUUUAAUUCUAGAUAAAAACAGGAAGGCUGCAGGAAGGUGUGUUUGUGUGAGGAGUGGUACCAAUAUAAAUGCUUACUAUAAUAUUAUGUAUAAAAACCAAAAGUUUAGGAUUGUUCCAUAAACCUCAUCAAGAUUUUUGAAAUGAAAGCUCUCUGGAGACUCAAGUAAUGUACAUUGUUUCACAUAAUGACAUUUCCUUUAAGUUGGGAGUCCUCAAGGUUGAAAUGAGUAAAGCAUGAUUUUUUUUUAAUAAAAUGUAUUUUUUGUUGCCAAUAUGUGAUAGUAAUAGCUUACUGUAUUACAUAUGUUAUUUCUAAUUCUCAAUAUAAUCCCAAGAGGUAGGUUGUAUUAAUUACCUACAUUUUGCACAUGAAGAGACAGACCCAGCUAGGCUAAAUGAUUUUCCUCAUCCUCCAUUCAGCUGCAGAGAUGGGAGCUGAACCUAGGUUUGUCGUACCCACAGCCCUGGCUACUAAUCCCCAGGUGUUAGUUGUACUAAAGACAUGCAGAAAAAGAUUUCCAGAUUGAGUCACAAAACACUGAUACUCAAGCUCUGGGUAAAGAGAAAGACAAAUGUGUAAAUACAAUUGUGGUGGGAAAUUUUUAAAGUGUUUUUUUUUUAAUGGUUCAUAAAUCCAUUAAAAUUGAACAAAUUAAUUAGGAUAAACAUGUAAUAAACCAAGACUGACAUGUAGGAAACACAUUUUCUAGGUUUAAUGGUUAAUUAGAAAAAAUUAUGAAAACAGUAAUUAAAUAACACAUACUGAAAGUAAGCUUUUCAAGAAGGUAUAAAGUUGAAAAUGAGAAUGGGGACAUAAUAGUUUCGCAGAGUAUUUUGAAGUGCAUGUUAUUUGUAAAAUAAAUUUGAAAAAAAUCAACAAAAUGCAAUCCUAUUAAAGUAUCCAGCCUGAUAUACUAGAAAUA